UNGAUGCAGUUGUGCCUGAUAGGAGGC
RNAcentral lists this non-coding RNA (27 nucleotides) under Mus musculus (house mouse). The record is from RNAcentral. Lineage: Eukaryota; Metazoa; Chordata; Mammalia; Rodentia; Muridae.